CAGCAAACUGGUACAAACAAAAUGUACCUACCUAGGUAUAUCAAAUUGGAACUAGUCCAAUGUGAUCUAUUGAUAAACAGCGAUCUACGAUAAAGCGAGAAAAAUGGGAGGUUCUAUGCAGAGGUCGAAACAUUAAAAAUGUAAAAAGAAAAAAAAGUUGAUACUGGUGACGGGUGCGCCACUGUCGUAGGUAGGAAGUUGGAAAGGUACGAUAAAUAAGGUUAAGUAGG
Non-coding RNA from Cinara cedri, 230 nucleotides. The record is from the annotation of a GenBank genome assembly. NCBI's taxonomy places the organism in Eukaryota, Metazoa, Arthropoda, Insecta, Hemiptera, Aphididae.